This 305-nucleotide ribosomal RNA is filed under the name uncultured bacterium. RNAcentral's name for it is "bacterial SSU rRNA". It matches the Rfam family "Bacterial small subunit ribosomal RNA", at positions 338 to 657 of the family's 1533-position model. The record is from RNAcentral.
CCUACGGGGCGCAGCAGUGGGGAAUAUUGCACAAUGGGGGAGACCCUGAUGCAGCGACGCCGCGUGAAGGAAGAAGGCUUUCGGGUUGUAAACUUCUUUUGUCAGGGACGAAGCAAGUGACGGUACCUGACGAAUAAGCCACGGCUAACUACGUGCCAGCAGCCGCGGUAAUACGUAGGUGGCAAGCGUUAUCCGGAUUUAUUGGGUGUAAAGGGCGUGUAGGCGGGAAUGCAAGUCAGAUGUGAAAACUAUGGGCUCAACCCAUAGCCUGCAUUUGAAACUGUAUUUCUUGAGUGCUGGAGAGG